AUACGGAGGAUCCGAGCGUUAUCCGGAUUUAUUGGGUUUAAAGGGUGCGCAGGCGGCCAUUUAAGUCAGCGGUUAAAUCGUGGGGCUCAACCCCAUUCUGCCGUUGAUACUGGGUGGCUUGAUUGCGGUCGAGGUUGGCGGAAUUCGUUGUGUAGCGGUGAAAUGCAUAGAUAUGACGAAGAACACCGAUUGCGUAGGCAGCUGACCAGAUCGCAAAUGACGCUCAUGCACGAAAGUGCGGGGAUCGAACAGGAUUAGAUACCCUGGUAGUCCGCACAGUAAACGAUGAAUACUUGUUUUCGGCGAUAUAAUGUCGGAGGCAAAGCGAAAGCGAUAAGUAUUCCACCUGGGGAGUACGCCGGCAACGGUGAAACUCAAAGGAAUUGACGGGG
RNAcentral lists this ribosomal RNA (392 nucleotides) under uncultured bacterium. Its description in RNAcentral is "partial 16S ribosomal RNA". It matches the Rfam family "Bacterial small subunit ribosomal RNA", at positions 523 to 918 of the family's 1533-position model. The record is from RNAcentral.